ACUCCAGCUGCUCUCUGCGUGUUCUCCUGAUCUUUGGACUGCGGCGGAACCGUCUGCCAGCGAGUCGUGAGUCAUAAACUUGGGUGCAAAGGGCCACUCGGCCCUCGUCGCCUCCUCACCUGGAGCGUCGUCUCUGCUCGGCUCUCCGGACUCGGCCCUCAGAGCCGUGUCGCUGUCUCUCCGGCGGUGCGAUUUCACCCUCUUGUGUGCGACCUGGAGGACGAAGACAGCGCGUGUCUGCAGGUGGCGGCUCUGCUUCUCCAGCUUGUCUUGCUGCUGCUUGAUCUUCUCCACCAGCUGGUCGAUGCGUCGGUUCUGAGCCGCGACCAGAGCCUGGAGAAACACAACGUCUGCUCUUUGGUUCUGGCCUCCAUCGCUCCAUCGCGCUCCCGCCGCGCCCUCUCGAGUUGAGCCAGCGAGCCGUUGAAGGCCUUCAGCUUGGC
This is a long non-coding RNA of Pseudoliparis swirei, 443 nucleotides long. RefSeq lists it as uncharacterized. The record is from RefSeq and is a predicted model, not a curated record. The transcript has 4 exons. NCBI's taxonomy places the organism in Eukaryota, Metazoa, Chordata, Actinopteri, Perciformes, Liparidae.